RNAcentral lists this ribosomal RNA (174 nucleotides) under uncultured bacterium. Its description in RNAcentral is "partial 16S ribosomal RNA". It matches the Rfam family "Bacterial small subunit ribosomal RNA", at positions 335 to 526 of the family's 1533-position model. The record is from RNAcentral.
ACUCCUACGGGAGGCAGCAGUGGGGAAUCUUGGACAAUGGGGGCAACCCUGAUCCAGCGACGCCGCGUGGGUGACGAAGGCCUUAGGGUUGUAAAGCCCUUUUCUCGGGGAAGAUGAUGACGGUACCCGAGGAAUAAGCACCGGCUAACUCCGUGCCAGCAGCCGCGGUAAUAC